RNAcentral lists this microRNA precursor (145 nucleotides) under Gossypium hirsutum (cotton). RNAcentral's name for it is "MIR7502 microRNA precursor family". It matches the Rfam family "MIR7502 microRNA precursor family". The record is from Rfam by way of RNAcentral. Lineage: Eukaryota; Viridiplantae; Streptophyta; Magnoliopsida; Malvales; Malvaceae.
AGUUAAAAAAUUCAUCCAAUUAUACUUUUAAAAAUUGGUGUGGUUGACGAAAUAACUAGACAGUACUAACAUGUGACAUACCACUUGUACGUCAUGGCGUCUAGGUAUCCAUUUUUAAUAGCAUAGAUGGAUAAAAUUUUCAAUA